This 1499-nucleotide long non-coding RNA is filed under the name Homo sapiens (human). Its description in RNAcentral is "HSALNT0322025". The record is from RNAcentral. Lineage: Eukaryota; Metazoa; Chordata; Mammalia; Primates; Hominidae.
AUUCUACUCUGUAUUACAGCCAACCACAUUUCCAGGCUCCCUUGUCCUCUGCUAUCUAGGUGAGUUUUGUCAGUGGAAGACAUUGGUGGAAGGUUGGAUGCUUCUUCUUCUAGCAUCUCUGGUGGUGGCUGUGUUUCCUCCCUGACUCCAGCUCCCACUGGGUGUCAUUCACUUUGUGGUUUUGGUGCUUGCCCAAUGGCCUGGCUUCUGAGCCCUGCUUCUGCAGCCCAGGGAGAGUAGCAGCAGUCUGCUGUUUUUAGUGUCUGGGUUGCCACUCUUUUCCUGUUUGACCUCUCUGGGCUUCCAUGACCCACAUAAGUCAUUAAAUUCCCUCUGUCAAAAAGACUUAGGUUCCUGUUUCAUGACUGGAUGCUGACUGAUAUUGUUAUUACCAUUGUAACUAUUAUCGUUGUUAUUGUUUUUAUUAUUUUAUACUGCCAAUGCCUGUUUAAAUUUACCCAUGUGUUUUCAAAUUACUUUGAUCACCUUGCAUUUUGCAUUCCACUUCUAUACUUUUGGUUAAAGUUUUCUUCUUUUUGCAACAUAUCCCUAGCAUUUAUUUCUAUAAAGGUCUGUGUUUUAGAUAACUUACAGAUUCAAAAUUUUAAAAUAUGGCUUUUUGUCAUUUACUUAAGAUCUGUAUGCAAGAAGAAAUGAAAAAGAUGAACAGGUAGAGUCCAGGACUACCUACCACAGCUCAGGAGUAUGAUGGCCAAUGGAUCCAAAACCUAUCCUAUAUCUACAUGUUGGUGGCCACAUUAAUCUGACAUCUGACAGCAAGAGCGAUGAUUGGGUUCACUGGAAAUCUUUGUGAAGUACGAGUGAAGUCCUUGUGAAGUCAGAGUUUCCUCUUCAUGCCUCUACUCCUAUGCAGUUUGACCUCUCAGUGUGCAGCUGGUGAUAGAUGGAAACCCUUGUUCAUAAGCUUUGUGGCACUGUCGGCAGGAUGAGGGGACUUCUGGAUCCUCACUGGUCACUGUGGCAGAGUGGUUGGUGUUGUCUGCUCCCUAGACAGGAACCCACUGAAGAAUCUGACAUUUUUUGAUAUGCUGGCAUUCAUUGUUACAGCCCAUCAUCCCAGCCAUCAAUCCAGGACAUGGGGUCUGUGCCCACGGUGGGAAGGAGGAGGGGGAAGCUGGCUUUGUUCUGACGUUGGGCUUCUUCUGCUCCACCAGUACUUUCUGUGGGGGAAAUAGGUAAAGAAAUGGCUGUUCAGAUGAGAAGAUGUGUCAGUAAACUUUUGCUACAGUGAUGCUGCAAAACAAAUCACUGGUGACUUUCAGUGGCACACAGCAAUAAACAUUUAUUUAGCUCAGGGAUUGACAAUCUUUUUUUUUUUUUAAAGGGCCAAAUAGUAAAUAUUUUAGGUGUUUCAGGCCAUACAGUCUCUGAACUCUGAACUUGUAGCACAACAGUAGCCUUAGAUGCUAUGCAAAUGGAGGAGCAUGACUGUGUUCCAAUAAAACUUUAUUUAUGGACACUAAAAUUGGAAUUUCAUG